Thamnophis sirtalis is the source of this 2043-nucleotide long non-coding RNA. RefSeq lists it as uncharacterized. Lineage: Eukaryota; Metazoa; Chordata; Lepidosauria; Squamata; Natricidae. The record is from RefSeq and is a predicted model, not a curated record.
UGCGCAAUAGGGGAGCGGGGGUGGGACGGGAGGAACGUCUCAUAGUUCUGGAAAAACUUCGGUUUCAGAUGAGGCAAGAACCCGGGCGAAGGAUUGCGUUUUCGUAUCUUUGCUGCCGUCUAGCGGUCGUCCGGAUACUUUUCUAAAUUUCACUCAACUUCUUCCCACGCUGAUGCCCUCGAGAUGCGUAAAAAGUACCACCGCCCGCAUUCCCAGCUACCCGACCAAGGUUUUUUGCUUUACAAAGUUGUCUUUCCAUCGCAUUCUUAAAAUGCCCAUUUUUGAACGCCCCAAACCCAGACGUUACUCAAAUAAUAACAAGGAUUUCACUCUUUGCUGCCAUGGCUUGGGGUCUGACUUUCGUCCGGUUUAAUAUUUGUUGUCACAGAGGACAAAAGAUAUAGAUCUGAUGGACUUUAGCUUCAGAGGAAUAAAAACAAGCUCAUGAAAUAUCAAAACUUCCCUGGGAGACUUAUUUUUUUCUGCAUACUUCGUCCACUGUCUAAGAAAAGAAUCUGCAGUUGGUAAAAUGUCAUCCUUACUACCUCCUGCUGUUUUCAGUAUAUAAAACACAUAGAUUGUGAAGAGUUCGGCUGUCUUUCUCUUUUUGUUCAACGUUAUUUUGUCUGAGAGAGUGAAUACUGCGGCUCGUUUCCUAUGAGAGUGAUAACUGAUCUGUAAUGGAUUCUAAAAAAGAAUAAGACUGGGAACAUUCACUCAUAAAAGCAACCUAAUAGGGGCUGGCAGAGACUUGUUGCUAUCUGAACUCCCAAUAUUGCGAGACAUUCUAAGAUAUGGCCAACUGUUAAAAGAACAAAGUAGUGAUAAUGCUAGAAACUACCCAGCAACCAGUCUAGCAAGAGACAUAUAUCCAAAAGUACUUGAAAAGUGGGAAAGAGUGAACAGUUCUUUUAUGACUCCUGUUGUAAAUUUACGAGAGACACUCUUGAAAAAGAUCCAAGAGAGCUGGGAUCAAGCCAAAAACAUCUCUUGGUAGAAGAAAGCUAGAUGUCAAAGAGAUUUUCACUGUGAAACUUGACAAACUGUUUGACAUCCUCAACAGCAAGUGUCAAAUUGUCCUGUGUGCCAAAUUUGGCUGCCCUGCUGACUGCAAAAAAGAAGCCCACAUUAACUGUCCCUGUCCUAAGGAGACAAAGAUACCAUUGAAGGAACUUGCUUUCAUUAAGGGUCAGAGAGACAAGAUUGGUCUUUUGGAUUGUACCAGAUUGAUUUGCCAGAUGUGCCCAAGCAGAAAUGACUAGGCAAAAGGCAAAAGUGGCAAGGCAAUGAGAGACAAAGGCUCACUAAAUAUAAGUAUUCCAGACAUUUCAAUACUGACAAAUGAAGUAAUUAUCUCUUACAAUGAAAAUGAAGGACAGACAAUAGAUGAUGAAGAUGAAGAGGAAUGUGAUGGAAGUUACGAAGAGGCCUUAGACCAAACACAUGUGCCCUCUACUUCAAAAGAAAAUACAGAAUACAAUAGAUUAGAAAUAACAAAAGUCACUAUUCAGAGCAGAGCAUAAAAUACAGUGUUGGUCUAUGUGCCACAGCCACCUUCAUAGAUGUUGGUUUGAUUACCAAAGAAGACAAGAGACUUGUAAUUGAUCACAAUUACAAUGUCCUGGAAAAAAUUAUGAAGUCACUAGAUCAAGAAUUUGAUAGACUCUGUAAGAAGGGCAAAAUAGAAUGCAUCAUCUUAGGCAGCCAUAUGGAUGCAAAUAAAGUUACGCUGAAAGCAAACACUUCAAACCAGGAAUUACCUAGUAUCAUCAAAGAACAUUAAUCUGUGUGCAGUGAGCCAGGUGGAAGAUACCUUUAUCAUUUCACUCCAGAGAAAGACUCAAAAACAGGAAAACCUGUUAAAGUGAUUGCAGAUAAUCUGGUAUAUUUCAUGAAGAAGAAAUUCAUUGACAAAAAUUGGAGGAGAGUCUACAAAUAUUAAUACUGGCUGUGAAGGUGGUGCCAUACACUGGCUGUUCCGGCAGGCCUGGGGCUGUUGAUUUAUCCAGCCUCAUCCUAAGCUAUAUGAAUGUUGUGCAAUUU